ACGGGGAGCAGCAGGCGCGAAACCUUUACACUGCACGCCAGUCCGCUAAGGGGAUCCCGAGUGCGAGGGCAUACAGUCCUCGCUUUUCGUGACCGUAAGGUGGUCACAGAAUAAGAGCUGGGCAAGACCGGUGCCAGCCGCCGCGGUAAUACCGGCAGCUCGAGUGAUAGCCACUAUUAUUGGGCCUAAAGCGUCCGUAGCCGGCCGAACAGGUCCGUCGGGAAAUCCACCCGCUCAACGCGUGGACGUCCGGCGGAAACCAGUCGGCUUGGGGCCGGGAGACCAGAGAGGUACGUCCGGGGUAGGAGUGAAAUCCUGUAAUCCUGGACGGACCACCGGUAGCGAAAGCGUCUCUGGAGAACGGACCCGACGGUGGGGGACGAAAGCUUGGGUCUCGAACCGGAUUAGAUACCCGGGUAGUCCAAGCUGUAAACGAUGCUCGCUAGGUGUGGCGUUGGCUACGAGCCAGCGCUGUGCCGUAGGGAAGCCGAGAAGCGAGCCGCCUGGGAAGUACGUCCGCAAGGAUGAAACUUAAAGGAAUUGGCGGGGGAGCAC
RNAcentral lists this ribosomal RNA (555 nucleotides) under uncultured Halobacterium sp. RNAcentral describes it as "bacterial SSU rRNA". It matches the Rfam family "Archaeal small subunit ribosomal RNA", at positions 325 to 879 of the family's 1478-position model. Lineage: Archaea; Methanobacteriati; Methanobacteriota; Halobacteria; Halobacteriales; Halobacteriaceae. The record is from RNAcentral.